This 253-nucleotide ribosomal RNA is filed under the name uncultured bacterium. Its description in RNAcentral is "partial 16S ribosomal RNA". It matches the Rfam family "Bacterial small subunit ribosomal RNA", at positions 524 to 776 of the family's 1533-position model. The record is from RNAcentral.
UACAGAGGUCCCAAGCGUUGUUCGGAUUCACUGGGCGUAAAGGGUGCGUAGGCGGUCGGGUAAGUCUGAUGUGAAAUCUCACAGCUUAACUGUGAAACUGCAUUGGAUACUAUCCGGCUCGAGGAAUGGAGGGGAGACUGGAAUACUUGGUGUAGCAGUGAAAUGCGUAGAUAUCAAGUGGAACACCAGUGGCGAAGGCGAGUCUCUGGACAUUUCCUGGCGCUGAGGCACGAAAGCCAGGGGAGCAAACGGG